Molecule: long non-coding RNA, 1082 nt
Filed under: Heterocephalus glaber (naked mole-rat)
Lineage: Eukaryota; Metazoa; Chordata; Mammalia; Rodentia; Bathyergidae
Description: lncRNA (ENSHGLG00000050467.1)
Source: RNAcentral
AGAGUGAGAGUCUCAGUGUAGGCCCUGCCCAUGGCUGUCUCUUAUGGGUGUGCCCUACAGCCUGGAAAGUUCUUCUCAGAAUCCAUCACCCGACAUUUUACAGGCAGGAAAUGGAGGCCAGAGAAGGAAAGGGCCAAGGUCUCCGUAGAAACCAGGGGGCAGAGCUGAAGCUGGGUCUCAAAGCCAGUGCAGGUGGCAGAGGAAGGACAUGGAGCUCAAGCCAAAGGCACCAGGGCCGCGUCUCCCACCCUGCAGCUCAUGCCUGAGGCCAACAGGGGCUGGAAAGAAGACCUGGAGAGGCUCCUGCUCCUGCUCAGGAGGCUCUGGUUUGUCUCCACGUCAUGGCUCCUGUCCCUCUGGAGGCUGCUCUACCACAGGAAGACAAGCGCUGCUCCUAUCUUCACCGACUUCUCUCCCCAAAGAAACAGACAACCUGGUGGGAAAACAGCAUCACCCCAACUUGGAGCAGCUGGGAGGGACCUGGACCACCAUUCUGCCCCAGGCCCCUCUGCCAUUCUGCAGCCACCCGAGAGGGAGAUCUGACCGCUCCCACACGUACAGUUGCCGACGGUGAGCUCCAGCUCGAAGAGCCAGGAAGUCAAGGAGACCAGACCCUGAGCCCAGCGGCCGCCUGCAAACCUGUGGGCUUCCCCACACCCCAUGUAAGCAAGCUGUCUGGCCCUGGAGCUGGGGACUUGGAGAGGCCCCCACCCUCUUUCCAGUCUUCUCUCAUUGCAGUCUGAGCUAGUUGGACCUCUGAGCUUCACAAAGCACUUUGAAAUUCAUAAAAUGGAAAUUUAUUGAACAAGCCUUUGGAGAAGGGAAGUAAUGAAAACCGCUACAUAAAUUACGAGGCCACUGGUAUUACACAGCUGGAGCUAAUGCUGUUAGUCCCAGAAGGGGACCUAGCUCCACCCUCCUCUGCUGGCCUUCUGGAGGUCUGCUCCUGGGAGCCUGAGAGGAGCCCUAGGGAGAGAGAGAGACCUACCCUGGAGUUUAUCUGGGAGGGCCUGGGAGGCCAUAUGCCCUCUGCCCGGUCUCCAUUUCUGCAUCACUGCAGUGGAGGUAACAGCAACAUCUGU